GGCCGCAGUAUACUAACUGUGCAAAGGUAGCAUAAUCAUUAGUCUUUUAAUUGAAGGCUGGUAUGAAUGGUUGGACGAGAUAUUAACUGUUUCAUAAAAAUUUAUAAUAGAAUUUUAUUUUUUAGUCAAAAAGCUAAAAUAAAAUUAAAAGACGAGAAGACCCUAUAAAUCUUUAUAUUUAUAUUAUUAGAAUUUUGUAGAUUUUUUUUAUUAUAAUAAUUAAUUAUAUUUUAUUGGGGUGAUAUUAAAAUUUGAUAAACUUUUAAUUUUUAAAAUCAUUAAUUUAUGAAUAAUUGAUCCAUUAAUAGUGAUUAAAAAAAUAAGUUACUUUAGGGAUAACAGCGUAAUUUUUUUGGAGAGUUCAUAUCGAUAAAAAAGAUUGCGACCUCGAUGUUGGAUU
This 400-nucleotide ribosomal RNA is filed under the name Sarcophaga shirakii. RNAcentral's name for it is "partial 16S rRNA". The record is from RNAcentral. Lineage: Eukaryota; Metazoa; Arthropoda; Insecta; Diptera; Sarcophagidae.